Dreissena polymorpha is the source of this 404-nucleotide long non-coding RNA. RefSeq lists it as uncharacterized. Lineage: Eukaryota; Metazoa; Mollusca; Bivalvia; Myida; Dreissenidae. The record is from RefSeq and is a predicted model, not a curated record. The transcript is spliced from 3 exons.
CGAUGGAGAUUGGUUCACCAUACGUUAUAACGACACAUGGGAAUACCCGUAUUCGAUUAUUACAUCGUCCGUGGCUAGAUACAUCCGCGUAAAAAGCCUUUACACUAUAGGGAUGUGCGAGGUGUAUGUAUUUGGAGAAUGUCCUUCAUUGAGGUGGGGUGAAUCGUGCCAAAACAGAUGUGGACAUUGCAACAAUGGUUACACGUGCAACCCGAUAUUCGGGACAUGCAAGGAUGGAUGCGCUAGCGGAUACAAAAAUCCAUAUUGUUCUGAAGAAUGCGACGCAUACCGAUUUGGACAGAACUGCAACCAGACGUGUAGUUCAAACUGUGUGAAUAUGUGCAAUAAAGUAGAUGGAUCAUGUUUGUGCAGACCUGGUUUUUUGGGAUCGCAAUGCUCACGCG